CAUCUGUACAUGUUGGGCCAUGAGACAAUGAAGUGGCUCCAGACAUCCAGCAUCCUGGUCUUGGGCCUGUGGAAUUUGGGCAUGGAGAUCGUUAAGAACAUCAUCCUUGGCAGGGUUAAGGCUGUCACCCUACAUGACCAGGGCACUGCCCAGUGGGCUGACCUGUCCUCCUAGUUCUACCUGCAGAGGAGGAUAUCAGUUAAAAACUGGACCAAGGUGUUCCAGUCCUGCCUUCUGAACUCAACAGCUACAUGCCUGUCACUGCCUACACUGGGCCCCUUUUUGAGGACUUCCUUAAUGGCUUCGAGGUGAUGGUCCUCACCAACACUCUUGAAGGAGCAGCUCCAAGUAGGUGAAUUCUGUCACAGCCAUGGCAUCAAGCUGGUGGUGGCAGACACUCGAGGCCUAUUUGGACUUUGGAGAGGAAAUGGUCCCCACAGAUUCCAAUGGGGAGCAGCCACUCAGUGCUAUGGCUUCUGUGGUCACCAAGGUUUCUAUGGUUACCUGCCUGGAGGAGGCCCGACAUGGAUUUGAGAGUGGCGACUUUGUCUCCUUUUCAGAAGUACAGGACAUGAUUCAACUCAAUGGAAGUCAGUCCACAGAGAUCGAAGUCCUGAGUCCUCACACCUUUAGCAUCUGUGACUCCUCCAACUUCUCCAACUACAUCCAUGGGGGCAUCGUCAGUUAGAUCAAAGUACCUACGAAGAUUAGCUUUAAAUCUUUGCCGGCUUCACUGGCUGAGCUUGACUUUGUGAUGACAGACUUCACCAAGUUUGCUCACUCUGCCCAGCUGUACGUUGGGUUCCAGGCUCUGCACCAAUUCUGUGCUCAAUACAACCGGCCACCUCGACCUCACAAGGAGGAGUAUGCAAUAGAAGUUGUGGCCCUAGCAAAGGCUGUGAAUGCUCAAGCCCUACCCACAGUGCAGCAGGACAACUUGGAUGAAGACCUUAUUCGGAAACUGGCCUAUGUGGUUGCUGGGGAUCUAGCGACCACAAACACUUUCACUGGGGGCUUGGCUGCCCAGGAGGUCAUGAAGGCCUGUUCUGGGAAGUUUAUGCCCAUCAUGCAGUGGCUGUACUUUGAUGUCCUGAGUGUGUCCCUGAGGACAAAGAGGCCCUCACAGAGAACAAGUGCCUACCUCGUCAGAACCGUUAUGAUGGACAGGUGGCUGUAUUUGGCUCAGACCUGCAAGAGAAGCCGGGCAAGCAGAAGUACUUCUUAAUGGGUGCAGGGCACCAUUGGCUGUGAGCUGCUCAAGAAUUUUGAUAUGAUUGGGCUGGGCUGUGAGGAGGGUAGAGAAAUCAUUGUCACAGACAUGGACACCACUGAGAAAUCAAAUCUGAACUAACAGUUUCUGUUUUGGCCCUGGGAUGUCACAAAGUUAAAAGUCUGAUACAGCCACUGCAGCUGUGCACCAGAUGAAUCCCACACAUCCAUGUGACAAGCCACCAGAACCAUGUGGGUCCUGACACUGUGUACAUCUAUGGUGACGAUUUUUUUCCAAAACCUGGAUAGCGUAGCCAAUGCCCUGGACAACGGAGGAUGCCCACAUGUACGUGGAUUGCUGCUGCAUAUACUACCAGAAGCCGCUGCUGGAGACAGGCAACCUGGGCACCAACGACAACGUGCAGGUGGUGAUUCCCUUUCUGACAGAGUCCUACAGCACCAGCCAGGAUCCAACGGAGAGGUCUAUUCCCACCUGUAACCUAAAAAACGUCCCCAAUGCCAUUGAGCACACUCUGCAGUGGGCUCAGGAUGAGUCUGAAGGCCUUUUCAAGCAAUCAGCAGAAAAUGUCAACCAGUACCUCACAGACCCCCAGUUUGUGGAGCGAACACUGCAGCUGAUGGGUACUCAGCCAUUGCAGGUGCUGGAGGCUGUGCAGCACAGCCUGGUAUUCCAGAGACCACAGACCUAGGCUUACUGCGCGAUCUGGGCCUGCUACCAUUGGCAUACCCAGAACACUAACAACAUCUGGCAGCUGCUACAUAACUUCCCUCCCAACCAGCUCACAAGCUUGGGAGCCCCGUACUGGUCUGGGCCCAAAUGCUGUCUACACCCACUUAG
Castor canadensis (American beaver) is the source of this 2068-nucleotide non-coding RNA. Lineage: Eukaryota; Metazoa; Chordata; Mammalia; Rodentia; Castoridae. The record is from RefSeq and is a predicted model, not a curated record.